UACAGAGGUCCCGAGCGUUGUUCGGAUUUAUUGGGCGUAAAGGGUGCGUAGGCGGCGGAGUAAGUUGGGUGUGAAAUCCCGGGGCUUAACCUCGGAAUUGCAUUCAAUACUGCUUCGCUAGAGUACUGGAGAGGAGGCUGGAAUUUACGGUGUAGCAGUGAAAUGCGUAGAUAUCGUAAGGAAGGCCGGUGGCGAAAGCGAGCCUCUGGACAGUUACUGACGCUGAGGCACGAAGGCCAGGGGAGCAAACAGG
RNAcentral lists this ribosomal RNA (253 nucleotides) under uncultured bacterium. RNAcentral's name for it is "partial 16S ribosomal RNA". It matches the Rfam family "Bacterial small subunit ribosomal RNA", at positions 524 to 776 of the family's 1533-position model. The record is from RNAcentral.